GGUGGCUCAGUGGUAGAGCGCUUGCCUUGUAUGCCUGAGGCCCUGGGUUCAAUUCCUCAGCACCA
Dipodomys ordii (Ord's kangaroo rat) is the source of this 65-nucleotide non-coding RNA. Lineage: Eukaryota; Metazoa; Chordata; Mammalia; Rodentia; Heteromyidae. The record is from Rfam.